AUGCCGCGCCUCCGCCUCACUUCGUCGCGCGGCUGGCUCAAAACCGGUCGGGACCAUCUCAGACGAGGCAGAAUUCAAGUUCUAAAAGAGUCCCGUGCUCCGCCCCGAGGCCAAUGGGGGGACGAUGGGUUAGAUGUGUAUGGCGAUGGACAGCACCGUGGUUCCUCUUCCACGGGAGGGGGGCGUGGUUAUGCCUGGCAGAGUGACGGGUCUGCUGAGAGACCGUUUCUCGGCCCUCCAGGAGGUUUUGUUGAGGGUGCCUCCGGUCCGGAUCACCGCCAGAGAGGGGGUCACCGUGGACAUCGUGGUGGUCGGGGCGGUGGCCGCGGGAGGUAUCAUCGCAGACCGCCUCCGCCUUCGGCAGUUGUUGACCAAGCGGCGUCAGUAGUGGAGACCGAUCGUGCUUCCACGGAGCUCCCUCCACAGGCGAUGGAGGUGGUAGCGGCUUUAGCCAAUGUUGAGGUUCCUGCGACUAGGAGUGUGACUGAGGUUACCGACAGGUCUGAUGCUGAGAGGGCGUCCAAGUGGGCGCGUAAGAAGGAAAGGAUGCUUUGCUACCGUUGUGGUGAGAAGGGCCACUUCAUUGCUGAAUGCGUGGCAGAGCUGUGUGAGUCCUGUGGUAAGCCGGCACAUGCCUCGGGGGAUUGCCCGUUGUUGCGUGACCAGGCUCCGUCUUUGACAAUGUAUGGAGUUUAUUGUGCUGAGCUAAUGUUCUUUGAGUCCCCGGCCGCGUGA
Molecule: ribosomal RNA, 735 nt
Filed under: Triticum aestivum (bread wheat)
Lineage: Eukaryota; Viridiplantae; Streptophyta; Magnoliopsida; Poales; Poaceae
Description: partial small subunit ribosomal RNA
Source: RNAcentral